UCUGAAAAAUGUUUUCACAUUUAUCUUCUCUCUACAGGAAUGAGCUGGAACGCCAGUUUCUGGAGCUGUUGCAGUUCAAUAUUAAUGUUCCCUCCAGUGUUUAUGCCAAGUAUUAUUUUGAUUUGCGCUCCUUGGCAGAAGCAAAUAAUCUGAGUUUUCCUUUGGAGCCCCUCAGCAGGGAUAGGGCAUAUAAACUUGAGGCCAUUUCCCGCUUGUGUGAAGAUAAAUACAAGGACUUCAGGAAAUCUGCAAAGAAACGGUCAGUCAGUGCUGACAAUCUGACUGUGGUUAGAUGGUCUCCUGCUAUUAUCUCCUAACAGAGGAGACUGGAAUAUUCCUACGGACGUACUGUUUCAUCCAUCCAGUUUUUUGGGGGUGGGUGGGGGGGGAGGGAGAGGAGAGAAAAAGACUUCUGUUUUUUUGUUUUUUUUUUAAAUCUGUCAAGCUGCCUUUACAGUGCCUCCCCAUUGUGUAGCACACGAGUAAAGUACCUAGCGGGAGCUGAAGUGGAGAAGCCAGUGUUUGGGAGAGAAGAUGGGUGACAAUUUCUUCCUCACUUUCACUAACACCUUUAGUCUUUCUAUGAGGAAACAGCAAAUCGGGUGCUUGGAAGUAGAAACAAAAAAUGAAGUAGAGGCAGAAAAACUAUUUCAGAACUGUGCCAUUUUUCAAUGUGCUGUGCUUUUGAAGAGAAACGACAGCAUGAAAAUGAACCACAUAGUCAGAUGACUGUGCACUAGAGGAGUGACGUUCAGAGAGUUCCAUCUUAAAGGUUUCUCUUAAUAUCUUUCUUAAUUUUUAUUUUCCAUUCCUCAUUGCUGCUUCCCAGGAAAAAUUCUUCCCCUUGCACAGCAGCAAAUACCAAGUCUGUAUUUACAGUAGCACAAACCCCUGAAUAAAUAGUGUUGUUUUUUUUUCACUGCACUUUUCUCUGUAAGCUGUUAUUAGCAUUAUUCUUCAUAAUUAUUAUGCAUAUGUUAUAUUUCUCUUAUGCCUUCUAUUGUAUUUCAAAAGAGAGAACUUGACCAUAGUGCUGAACCAAAAGUGUGUACAGGGAUCAGAAGAUGGUUCAUAAUUCCAUGAUGUGUUUUAUUUAUAGUAUACUUGGGUGCGUGUGCCUUCCUAAGUUCUUGGAAUCAAUUAUUUUUCCUUAGUACAAAGAUACAGUUGUUAAUGUAUUCAGAUGAUGAUAGUUAUAAGACUUGGGCCAAAUAUCUGAAAUUUGCAACAGGUCUUGUGAUCCUUUUUGCAGAUUUUCAUAGCAUUAGAAGUUUAGCAGAAUUCAUUUAGAGACAGAUUUGUUUUGUAUGGCCUAGACUAGUUCAUUCAUUCACCUCCAGGUCCAUUGUUGCAAGCAAUAUUCUCAAUUUGUAUGUGUUUACUUUAAAACAAAGUAAGUCUGUUUGUAUAAAAUAAAAAAUAAUUUUAUAAGUUUCACUGAGAAGGUCUACAGAAGAGCAGAAUACACAUUUUAACAAGGUACUUCUCACAAGCAGAUUUGGUUUUGAAGCUAAAAUACAAACUCUUAUAUUUUUUUCAGUGUGAGCACUUAUAGAAAUUAAAAAUAACCAAACCGUGAACAAAAUGUUCAACUCUAAUUAUUAAGCUCUUCUGUUGUUGUUACUAGUUCCUUCCUACCGUGGCUGUUGCCCCCUUGGGCAAUAAGAACUUUAUUUUUAUUUUUAUUUUUAUUUUUAUUUUUUUGAUUUUUAUUUUUUUGCAUAGUUUAGAAAGAUACGGUUGAAAAUUCUCAGUUCCCUGAAAUUCUUUCUUUGUGACUGUCACUGAAGUGAGUGGCAGCAGACUUCCCUGAUAUAUGCACUACUGUGGUAAACUGUAAAGAUUCCUUAUUUGUUUUCAUUAAGCCCUAUGGGCUUGUAGCAAACCUAGAGGCCCUGAGAAGCACCCUUUGCUUCAGUGCAGUGCGGAUCGGAUGCCUCCAGGUGGAGAGGCACUAGCAGGAUUCAAGUAGUGAUACCAAACAGUUUCUGUUAACCUUCUAAUGUGAUUUGCGUGGUUUGUGACAUGAAGGUUUUGUCCGUAAAUUCUCCUGAUGUCCUUUGGGCCUUGAAAAUAUCUAAUUCUCAUCAUUGUUGUGCCAAUGCAUCGGAACUGUGAGUCUCCAAGUCCAUUUUUCCCUUGAACGUGGAAUGUAAGGAAAGUAUAACAAUACAAAUGCCAAUCAAAGCAUUUGCAACCUCUUUACAGAUGAUAUCAAAAGGAACAUUUUCAAAGCAUUUGAAAUUCAUCCUUUCUAAGCAUAAAUUUAGGCUUUAGAAUAUGUAAAAUAUUUUGAUUUAUCAACACUUUGCUAAACUAUUUUCCAUUUAACUUGAUAUCAGGAAUAUUGGUUUUAUCCAUUUCUGGGCGAUAGAUAUAUGAACUUUGGAUUAUGUAAAGAUCUCAAUGCAUCUUCUAUAAUUUUUGUGAAGUUUAUUAAACUACUUUAAAGAUUGUAUAGUCUAUUUAUUGUAUGUAUGUACAUACAGUCUGAUACUUUAAAAAGUGGAUUCCGUAAAACCUGGCUCAGUCUUGUUUAGACUAUUGAAUAUCGUUUUAGCCUUGUGCACUGGACUCUACCUCUGUAUAGGAGAAUUUUCCAUAUUCUUAAUUAGUCCUGAUUCUGUGAUUAACUUGGUUAUGUUUCUUGCACUAAGAAUUAAAAAAAAAUCUGCUGUAAGUGUGGAUUUUUUCUUUAAGUUUUGCCAUAUGAAUCCUCUACAUUUAAAUGGACAUUUCUUUCCCUCGUGAUUAUAAAACAAUUCUUUGCUUUUCCUCCUGGUUUGUUCCAACUUUGCCAAAAAAAAACCAACCAGUACCUGUCAGGAAAUCUGAAUAAGUGUCUUUUGUUUGCAAGGUAUUCUAUACCAUGUAAUUAAAAAAUGAAUUCUUAUUUAGGAUUAUGUUGUGUUUAGUGGAGUUUUUUAAGCGUUACUAUAUGGAAAAUGCCAUUGCAAGAUUAGAGAGUCACCCAGGGCUUGAGAAGGGAGGUGAACCAGACAGCGUUUUCAUUGACAGCACAAGUAAAUUUGGUUUUCGUUUCAGAACCCAAAACAAAAUUUGCUGUAAAUGUUUUCUGGAUGAAGGUUUUCACUAUUGCUUUGGUCACCAGCUCAGAAACAAAAAGGUGUAGGUGACGUAAUAAACCUGUCCCUUCAAGUGUCAUUGUCUUAAUGAGUUAUUUUCCUGUGUUGAGCCAGUGGGGCACUGGGUUUGUUGCUUAUGCAUUGAUAAUUGGAUAAAUGUUUGAAAAAAGUUUCUUCUAAGAGUUGUGUUUUUUUCAUGCAUCCCUCUGCAGACUUGAGAUGUUUCCCUAAUUCCUUUCUCCGUUUGAAGACUUAUUUAUAUUUCAUUUUAUGUUUAUUUUUUUCUUGUCAGCUGUAUAUUUCAUUCUGAUGGACACUUUUGAGACUAAUAAUGUUGGAGUCGUGAUAAAGUGCAGAUAAAAGAAAAACGACAAGAAACAUUUUCCCCUUUAAUAAGCCCUAUCAGUCUUUUGAAUGAUGCACAUUUUCUCUUACUAAAAAGAUGCAAAAUCCAAUAGCAGGGUAAUGGAAUCCUUUUCAAUAAUUAUAUUUUUUUAAUUUGCUUUUCAGUCUUUUUGUGAGAGGAAAAUAUCAGCAUGUGUAGCUUUAUAGUUACAUUUACCUUAUAGUAGUUAGCUGAGUUUAUCACAUAAAGUAAAUGUGUGAUGGGAGACCUGUUUAAGUGUUUUUGAAGUCUUAGUUCAGGCUUUGUUUUUUAUUUAACACCUCUUUCUCUGUUUCCCAACUUUGUUAAUGCUGCAAACUUUAGAUACAAACUAAAGGUUAGAAGGAGCAAAAGUCUCAUCAGAAAAGAGUGACAGUGUAUUGGUGGCAGAUGACAAAGUGACAUCUGGGAGUGUUGGCUGUAUGUAAAAAUAGCAGUCUGUGGGAGGGGACAGAGGAAUUGAAAUGACAGAACAGAAAAAAACAAAGCUUUAGCAGCUGAAGCAACAAAUUAUUUACAGCAAUCCUUUGCUGAUAAUGAGCACUGCAUUUUCCUUUGACAUGUUUAAAUUACUAAUUAGAAUGCUGCCCAUCCGUUGCAGACUCAUGUGGCGCUCUGUUUCUCUGAGGCAUGUAUAAAGAAUUUACUCAACCUGGCUUUUAGCACUUUCUCACUACUGUUUCAAACAUGCUUCUGUAAUCUGACUUUUAUUUUUUUUUUAAUUUGAAUCCAUAGUUCUUGAAAAUAUCUACCUACCUCUGCAGUGGAGUGCCCGUUUGGUAUCUCUAACAUGUUCUGAGAAAACAAUGCAAAUCUGAACACUUAUCUCUGUGACUGUGACCCAGACCUAUAAAGAAAUGUUAGUAGCUACAUCUAAAGUGUGCAGCAAGUAUCUUUCUGCUGUUUGCUUUUUCUCUUUGCCAGCUGAACUGCAUCUUGAGGAAACCACAGAACUGGUGAGAGUUGGAGUUGCCUUAGUUUACAGGUACUGAUGGAAGAUACGUAACUGCUGAUAAGAGAAAAUGCUUUAAAAAAGGAAACAAGAAUAAUAAGAAGAGCCGCUGAUGAUAAUGAUAAUUUUGUUGUAUAUGAACCUGCUUUUCUUAGUCCUCUUUUAAGAAUCUCCAAGAAGUGACUGGUAAAUCCCAGAAACACAGUUUGAAAAGUAAAGCCAAGAAAGCAACGCUUGGCUUUACUUCUCUUGUCUGGGCUUUAGGUCAUCAGGUACUUCCCAAUAAAAAAAAAAGAAUGGGCAGGAAGGCACUUUUAGGAAAGGCAAUUGGCAAAGUGGUAUUAUUACGCUGUUCCUCUUGCAUUUCUUUUCGAAUGAUUAGUCUGAUGCAGUUUGAUGUAAAGGAGGGUGGCUUUUUCUGUGGGUGCCUGUUACACCAUAUGUAAUAUGCUUCAGCAUUUUGGGGGCAACUUUAAGCUGCUUUUUAGUUGGGAAUACUCUGGUGACGACAUGCUAAGCACACUGCUUGCUCUGGUGAUAGGUGACCACGCACUUACAUUUCCCAUAUGAGUUGUCCAAUAUCUCUGUGAAGACUUUGUAAAGUUCACUCAAUGCACUGGGCAAAAUGAACUGUGAAGAUGUUGAUGGUUUCCGCAGAUUGAGAGCAACAAUUAACAACAAAGUGUCAAAAUUGUUGAACUUUCUGGCUUAAUCAGUGAACGACACAGUUCCAGAACAUCUUUUUUGGAGUGCUAUGAGAAAUGCAUUAAAUUUGGAGAAGACAUUUCUUCACGUGCAGACACCCCCGCUCAGUGCUGACUGCAGUGAUUCCUGAGCUUUGAGUCAUGUGUGAAAUGGAGGGGAAAACAUCACGUUUCUCUUUUCAACUCCCCUCUUUCACUUCUGUGCCCAUGUAGUCUUUUUCCCAUGGUGCCAAUGCUGGGAUUCUGUGCCUGCUUUCAGUGACCAUGUACUUACAUUCAUCUGUCCAUAGUGAAAAAAAGAGCAGUAUCAGUGUUCAGUAACACAGACAACAAUAUGAGUUUUGUUUCCUAAAAUGAUCAGCCAUGAAAUACAAGAAAGUGUGAUCUCUUAUUUUAAUUCCACUGUGGCUGCCUGUAUGUUACAUCUGAUAUGACGGAUUUAUUUACUGAUAUCCAGAACCAACACAAUAGCCCCUUCUGCUCGGCCUGCUGAAAGCUAUGAUCUAUUUGCUCCCUGCAGUGUUCGUGCUGAGAACGGAUACUGUGUAAGUACUAAAUUAAAAACAUAGCCAGACAAAGAGAUGCUUGAUAAUCUUAUUAAGAAAUCUCUUCCCCAGCUACUUUAACAAUUUCCACAAUAUCAGCACACCAUGCUUUAAAGUUAUAUGAAAAAUCCCAUUUGCAAACAAUGUCCAAGCCAUAGGAACAGGUGGCAGUCUGGCAUCUUCAGCCAUGCUGCCACAGUUCCCAUCCUCACACCCUUGUGUGUUGCUGGGAGAGAUCCCCUGUGGGUGUGUGCCAGGCAGGGCAGCCCACUCACUUAUGCAGUCACCUGAAUCCCUCUCCCACACCUUCUUGUCAUCUAGGUGUGACAAGAGGUUGUGGAUGCUCUGAAACCCUGGAGAUGUUGAAGACCAGGUUGGAUGGGGCCCUGGGCAACCUAAUUGAGUACCAAAUCUGGAGGUUUGUGGCCCUGCCUGAGGCUGGGGGGUUUGGAACUUGAGUUGGAAUUCCUUGGGGUCCCUUCCAACCCAAGCCAUUCUAUGAUUCUACGAGUGUUUUAUAGUUACCGCUCCCCUUUUGUUGUGUUCUGGAAGAUGGUGUGUGACCUCCACUGGUACAGGGGAAGAGUAGGUAGUAAGAAAAAAAGAACAAAAUGUUCAUCAUGCUAUUAUCAAGGUGCAGCAAAGCAAUCCCUGAAGGCCCAUCUGAUUGGAAAUGUCCUUUCUCUUCCUUUUUGCCCACCCAAACAGGAAAAUGUUUGGAGCUGUCUGAGCUGGGCACCAAUGAGGCAUGUCAUCACUAGCC
This is a non-coding RNA of Meleagris gallopavo (turkey), 6435 nucleotides long. NCBI's taxonomy places the organism in Eukaryota, Metazoa, Chordata, Aves, Galliformes, Phasianidae. The record is from RefSeq and is a predicted model, not a curated record.